ACAAUGGAGAGUUUGAUCCUGGCUCAGGAUGAACGCUAGCGGCAGGCUUAAUACAUGCAAGUCGAGGGGCAGCAUGAACUGUAGCAAUACAGUUUGAUGGCGACCGGCAAACGGGUGCGGAACACGUACACAACCUUCCUUCAACUGGAGAAUAGCCUCUCGAAAGAGAGAUUAAUACUCCGUAACAUAAUGAAGUGGCAUCACUUUAUUAUUAUAGAUACGUCGGUUGAAGAUGGGUGUGCGGCUGAUUAGGUAGUUGGCGGGGUAACGGCCCACCAAGCCUGCGAUCAGUAACUGGUGUGAGAGCACGACCAGUCACACGGGCACUGAGACACGGGCCCGACUCCUACGGGAGGCAGCAGUAAGGAAUAUUGGUCAAUGGACGCAAGUCUGAACCAGCCAUGCCGCGUGAAGG
Molecule: ribosomal RNA, 415 nt
Filed under: Chitinophagales bacterium
Lineage: Bacteria; Pseudomonadati; Bacteroidota; Chitinophagia; Chitinophagales
Description: bacterial SSU rRNA
Rfam family: Bacterial small subunit ribosomal RNA
Source: RNAcentral